CUCCCGCGCCGCCCGCGCAUCGACGCCGGCGUCAGCCGCGUUGAAGAGGUCGUGGAGCCCCUCGACCCCACCCUCGCCCUCACCUGCGUCGACAACCCCGCCCGUCUCAAUGCGGUUGACUCCCCCAUCGUCCGGCUCGUCUCCGACGAGUACGGCGUCGGCGGGGACAAAGCGCCGUUCGUCUGCCUCGGCGGCUUCCGGAACACUCGCGGUGUGUAUGAGCUCGAGGAGGGCGAGGGGCAGGGGCUCGUGCUAGAGCUCGACGAGACACACUUCGAUUUCGGCACAAACUACGAGCUGGAGUGCGAGACCGCGGAGCCCGACCGGGCCUAGGAGGUCCUGGAGCGGCUGCUCACCAUGGCUGGGGUGCCGUAUGAGUACUCCUGGAGCAAUAAGUUCGCGUGCUUCAUGGCCGGGAAGCUGCUUCCGUGA
This 432-nucleotide ribosomal RNA is filed under the name Triticum aestivum (bread wheat). Its description in RNAcentral is "partial small subunit ribosomal RNA". Lineage: Eukaryota; Viridiplantae; Streptophyta; Magnoliopsida; Poales; Poaceae. The record is from RNAcentral.